UUCGACCAGUCUUUUGAGUUGAAAUAUGUUGAUCCGUGGAAGCAACAGCUGGGUCUUAUGGCUCUUUUCACUCUGUCUUAUCUGUUGAGUAACAAAGGACUUGAAUUUCCAAGGACUUUUUUUUUUUUUCAGCCUUAGCAAGAAAAGAAAGAAAAAAAAUCAGGAAAAGAAGGCUUUUGGGAACAUACGCCAUUUGUUAUUUUGAGCAAGUAGGUCUUCUUUAGAAGUCUUCCAAGAAGGUAAAGAUGACUUUCCAAAAGAAGGAAAAUUACUUAGCAUCUUCCACAUUUCAGGGAUGUAGCAGAAUUUGAUGAAGAGCAAAAGAUGUCUUUGCCGGGAGAGUCCAUCUUUAGGUCUACUGAUACAUCAGCAAAGCCUGGGAAACCUCAUGUUUUGGUCAGCUAUUGCCGCAACGGUGCUGCAUAACAAGCUCCACGACUACAGAGCUGAACGGCACAGAGUCUCUUCUUACAUUGAUGGGGAUGCACCCACAGCAUACUGCUGCCCUACACCACAGCCACAGCAACGCAGGAUCUGAGCCGCAUCUGCAACCUACACCACAGAUCAUGGCAAUGCCAGAUCCUUUAACCCACUGAGCAAGGUCAGGGAUUGAACCUGAGUCCUCAUGGAUAUUAGUCAGAUUCGUUAACCACUGAGCCACGAGGUGAAUUCCAGUUUUCAGACUUUUAAGGCGCUGUUAUAAAUAGCAAUCUCAUUUUCCAAUAUUUUUAAAAAAUUUCGGACUUGCACUUUAAUACUUUUUCCAUGACAUCUAACUGGCACAAUUACUAAAUAUGAAGGUAAGUUUAGUUUCUUUCUUUUUUUUUUAACUCCUGCUAAAUUUCUUGGCGUAGGUUGAUUUCUAUGUUAUAUUAGGUUCAAAUCUACAGCAAAGCCGAUCAGCUAUGCAUACGCAUAUAUCUACUCUUUUUUCCCACGUAGAUUAUUACAGAACAUUGGGUAGACCUCCCUGUGCUAUAAUGGUAGGUCCUUGUAAGUUAUCUAUUUUAUAUACAACAGUGUAUGUGUCUUAAUCCCAAUCUCCCAAUUUAUCCCUCCCCUUUACCGUUCCCCUUUGGUAACCUUAAGUUUAAUUUCAAAAUCUGUGAAUUUGUUUCCAUAAAUUUGUUUUAUAAAUAAGUUCUGGAGUUCCCGUCGUGGCGCAGUGGUUAACGAAUCCGACUAGGAACCAUGAGGUCGCGGGUUCGGUCCCUGCC
Molecule: long non-coding RNA, 1217 nt
Filed under: Sus scrofa (pig)
Lineage: Eukaryota; Metazoa; Chordata; Mammalia; Artiodactyla; Suidae
Description: lncRNA (ENSSSCG00005036073.1)
Source: RNAcentral